Molecule: ribosomal RNA, 494 nt
Filed under: uncultured bacterium
Lineage: Bacteria
Description: partial 16S ribosomal RNA
Rfam family: Bacterial small subunit ribosomal RNA
Source: RNAcentral
ACUCAAAUGAAUUGACGGGGACCCGCACAAGCGGUGGAUGAUGUGGAUUAAUUCGAUGCAACGCGAACAACCUUACCUACCCUUGACAUGUCCGGAAGCCCGGUGAAAGCUGGGGGUGCUCGCAAGAGAACCGGAACACAGGUGCUGCAUGGCUGUCGUCAGCUCGUGUCGUGAGAUGUUGGGUUAAGUCCCGCAACGAGCGCAACCCUUGUCCUUAGUUGCUACGCAAGGGCACUCUAAGGAGACUGCCGGUGACAAACCGGAGGAAGGUGGGGAUGACGUCAAGUCCUCAUGGCCCUUAUGGGUAGGGCUUCACACGUCAUACAAUGGUCGGUACAGAGGGUAGCCAACCCGCGAGGGGGAGCCAAUCCCAGAAAGCCGAUCGUAGUCCGGAUCGCAGUCUGCAACUCGACUGCGUGAAGUCGGAAUCGCUAGUAAUCGCGGAUCAGCAUGUCGCGGUGAAUACGUUCCCGGGUCUUGUACACACCGCCCGU